AACUAAUAAUACCAUGAUGUCCACAUGCCUCUAUAAACAACUAGUCAAACCUUCCUAACCAAACCCUCCAUCCCACCUCUCUCUCUCUCUCUCUCUCUUUAGACUGUUGCUUUGUGUUUGAGUUCUUGAUCAUGAGAUGCUACCCUUUUGCCACCAUCUCCGGUGGCAAAGGGGUGGUAGCUAAAGAUGGAUUUCGCCCGUUUGUCUGUAGGAGCAGGUGGCUAUUGUUGACAAAUUAUUGUUAGAGGUCAUCGAGCUGAUCUGCUUUUAUCUUAGUUCCCACGGCAUGGGAAAGAGCCGAAGAAUUUGAUCCUGAAAGAUUCGACUUGGAAGGUCCAGUUCCAAACGAAACGAAUACUGACUUUAGAUUCAUCCCGUUUAGUGGAGGGCCACGAAAAUGUGUUGGUGAUCAAUUUGCCUUGUUGGAAGCUACAGUUGCUCUUGCGAUAUUGUUGCAGAACUUCUCGUUCGAGUUGAUUCCAGAUCAAAAUAUUAGCAUGACUACUGGAGCAACCAUUCAUACGACAAACGCAAGAUUCUCACCUAAAAAGCGAGCUAUUUUUAUUGUUAUAAGAUGUGUAACGAGUUCUCACGAUGUAAAUUAUUAUGUCUUUC
Molecule: long non-coding RNA, 615 nt
Organism: Lycium barbarum (goji berry)
Lineage: Eukaryota; Viridiplantae; Streptophyta; Magnoliopsida; Solanales; Solanaceae
Exons: 3
Source: RefSeq, a predicted model, not a curated record